This 658-nucleotide ribosomal RNA is filed under the name Fusarium cf. oxysporum PUF017. RNAcentral's name for it is "SSU rRNA". It matches the Rfam family "Bacterial small subunit ribosomal RNA", at positions 346 to 937 of the family's 1533-position model. Lineage: Eukaryota; Fungi; Ascomycota; Sordariomycetes; Hypocreales; Nectriaceae. The record is from RNAcentral.
UUGGAGAAGUGGCAAGUCUUCCAGUAUGGGGAGCAAAACAGCUAUGGGUCAAGUCCGAUAUCUUUAGGAGAAGUCUUAUUGUGAGGGCGAGUUAUAUAACACCAUAGGACUGGCCGUCCCAUAUGAAAAGAUUAUAUUAGAAUUGAAUGAAGCUUUGUUUAUAUAUUGAUAAUGACAGUAUAUAUAUCGUGUCUUGACUAAUUGCGUGCCAGCAGUCGCGGUAAUACGUAAGAGACUAGUGUUAUUCAUCUUAAUUAGGUUUAAAGGGUACCCAGACGGUCAAUAUAGCUUAUAAAAUGUUAGUACUUGACUAGAGUUUUAUGUAAGAGGGCAGUACUUGAGGAGGAGAGAUGAAAUUUCGUGAUACCAAAGGGACUCUGUAAAGGCGAAGGCAGCCCUCUAUGUAAAAACUGACGUUGAAGGACGAAGGCACAGAGAACAAACAGGAUUAGAUACCCAAGUAGUCUUUGCAGUAAAUGAUGAAUGCCAUAGGUUAGAUUAAUCAAAUAUAGUCUAGGGUUAGUCUAGCAAACUAAUGACCUAUACUAUAAUGAAAAAUAUCUGGUCUAUAAAUGAAAGUGUAAGCAUUUCACCUCAAGAGUAAUGUGGCAACGCAGGAACUGAAAUCACUAGACCGUUUCUGACACCAGUAGUGAAG